This 374-nucleotide ribosomal RNA is filed under the name uncultured organism. RNAcentral describes it as "partial 16S ribosomal RNA". It matches the Rfam family "Bacterial small subunit ribosomal RNA", at positions 527 to 896 of the family's 1533-position model. The record is from RNAcentral.
GUAGGUGGCAAGCGUUGUCCGGAAUUAUUGGGCGUAAAGCGCGCGCAGGUGGUUCUUUAAGUCUGAUGUGAAAGCCCCCGGCUCAACCGGGGAGGGUCAUUGGAAACUGGGGAACUUGAGUGCAGGAGAGGAAAGUGGAAUUCCACGUGUAGCGGUGAAAUGCGUAGAUAUGUGGAGGAACACCAGUGGCGAAGGCGACUUUCUGGCCUGUAACUGACACUGAGGCGCGAAAGCGUGGGGAGCAAACAGGGAUUAGAUACCCUGGUAGUCCACGCCGUAAACGAUGAGUGCUAAGUGUUGGGGGGGUUUACCCGCCCCUCAGUGCUGCAGCUAACGCAUUAAGCACUCCGCCUGGGGAUACGGUCGCAAGACUG